This 492-nucleotide ribosomal RNA is filed under the name uncultured bacterium. Its description in RNAcentral is "partial 16S ribosomal RNA". It matches the Rfam family "Bacterial small subunit ribosomal RNA", at positions 29 to 507 of the family's 1533-position model. The record is from RNAcentral.
AGUGAACGCUGGCGGUAUGCCUAAUACAUGCAAGUCGAACGACAGGACAGGAAGAUUGUUCUCUUACGGGUGGCGACGGGCGGACGGGUGAGGAAUACAUAGCCAUCUACUUUGUCUGGGAUGAUAACGGAGGGAAGGUGACGCUAAUAGCGCAUACGAUCUACGGGUGAAUGCAGUGGUGCUUGGCAGUUUUGGCGAUUCAUUUAGCCGAUGUCGGAUUAGCUAGUUGGGGUGGUAACGGCCCACCAAGGCAACGAUCCGUAGCGGGUCUGAGAGGAUGAUCAGCCACACUGGAACUGAGACACGGUCCAGACUCCUACGGGAGGCAGCAGUGGGGAAUAUUGCACAAUGGGCGAAAGCCUGAUCCAGCAAUACCGCGUGGGUGAAGAAGGCCUUCGGGUUGUAAAGCUCUUUUGUUGGGAAAGAAAAAAUGUAGAAUAAUCCACCGCCGUUUUGACGGUACCCAAACAAUAAGCAACGGCUAACUUCGUG